ACUAAUCUGCAGUGGUGCGCUCUGGUCUUCCCUGAGGGAGGAUUGUCCUUCCUGGUCCUGUUGAACCACGUGAUGCACUCUGGCUGAUGAAAUGGUGGUGACUCUUCUGCUGGAAGGCCUACUGGACACUUUUCCUGGUUCCUGACUGGACCCUAACCUGAUACAACACCUGAAGCACUGAGAACAGCAUCAGGCACACAGUAAGCGCUAUGUGAGUGUGAAUUUUGCAUUUGUUGAAGUAGGUAAAAAAGCGAACACUGCCCAUCAGAACUCUGUGAGGGGCACUAUCUACGUGUCUGACAUCCAUCAAGGAUAACACAAACUUCACGGUGCAGAAAGAUGGCUGUCUUCAGGGGAAACGCCGAUCCACACCCGUAACUGUCACUGGAACACCCCAACCCGGGCGUAGUUCAAAGCAAAUGAUGACACAGCUUCCAUAGCAUUAGCAAUUUUUUAUUUUUCCUUUUUUUGUUGCAUAGGAAAUGCAGUACUUGCUUCCAGUAAUUGUAUUGUAAUGUGAGAAGGUGGUAGCACUAAUGGUUGAAUACAAGAGUUAAACUAAUCCACACCAGCUCAAAAAACCUGUGGAGAUUUAGUUGAAUAAGAAUGGACGCCCACAGUGAUUCUCAACCAAUUACAAAUUUUCACAGAACACAGUAAAACUAAAAGGGUAACUAUGAGAGUCAAUACAAGUACACUAGAGGCACAGCGGGCCCGGCUCAUAAAAAACAAGGGUCAAACCAACGUAUUAACACGGGGGGUGUUCAGUUUCACAACAGAUCUCUCAGCCCUGGACGUGUUUGAUCCCCUCCCCCAACGAUUCGAAAUGAAAAAAAAAAAAA
This is a non-coding RNA of Vicugna pacos (alpaca), 842 nucleotides long. NCBI's taxonomy places the organism in Eukaryota, Metazoa, Chordata, Mammalia, Artiodactyla, Camelidae. The record is from RefSeq and is a predicted model, not a curated record.